RNAcentral lists this ribosomal RNA (254 nucleotides) under uncultured bacterium. Its description in RNAcentral is "partial 16S ribosomal RNA". It matches the Rfam family "Bacterial small subunit ribosomal RNA", at positions 524 to 776 of the family's 1533-position model. The record is from RNAcentral.
UACGAAGGGGGCUAGCGUUGCUCGGAAUCACUGGGCGUAAAGCGCACGUAGGCGGAUUGUUAAGUCAGGGGUGAAAUCCUGGAGCUCAACUCCAGAACUGCCUCCGAUACUGAGAGUCUCCGAGUCCGGGAGAGGUGAGUGGAACUGCGAGUGUAGAGGUGAAAUUCGUAGAUAUUCGCAAGAACACCAGUGGCGAAGGCGGCUCACUGGCCCGGUACUGACGCUGAGGUGCGAAAGCGUGGGGAGCAAACAGG